This 301-nucleotide ribosomal RNA is filed under the name uncultured bacterium. RNAcentral describes it as "partial 16S ribosomal RNA". It matches the Rfam family "Bacterial small subunit ribosomal RNA", at positions 509 to 807 of the family's 1533-position model. The record is from RNAcentral.
CAGUAGCCGCGGUAAUACGGAGGGUGCGAGCAUUAAUCGGAAUUACUGGGCGUAAAGCGUACGCAGGCGGUUUGUUAAGUCAGAUGUGAAAUCCCCGAGCUUAACUCGGGAACUGCAUUUGAAACUGGCAGGCUAGAGUCUCGUAGAGGGGGGUAGAAUUCCAGGUGUAGCGGUGAAAUGCGUAGAGAUCUGGAGGAAUACCGGUGGCGAAGGCGGCCCCCUGGACGAAGACUGACGCUCAGGUACGAAAGCGUGGGGAGCAAACAGGAUUAGAUACCCCUGUAGUCCCUGUCUCUUAUAC